UUCCUGUAUGAUCACGGAAGUUAAGCAACGUUGAGCCUGGUCAGCACCGAGAAGAGUGACCGCUUGGGAAUACCAGGUGCUGUAAG
RNAcentral lists this ribosomal RNA (86 nucleotides) under Acanthosepion pharaonis. The record is from RNAcentral. Lineage: Eukaryota; Metazoa; Mollusca; Cephalopoda; Sepiida; Sepiidae.